CUUUAAUGAUCUGCAAAUUGAUUUAUAGUCGAAAAACGGAAACAUCAUUGCCUACUCAGUAAGACUACUGGGAUAUUAUGGUUCAGGUUUAUGUUUUUUAUGUUCGGUGGAUUUACUUUUGAAGGCCUAAAUAAUAUUAUUGUAGUUUCAAAAAACAUUCAGGGAGGAUAUAGUUCUGCAGCCUCGCAAGCAUCAACAGCUGCCAUCUGCCUCCGUGUUAACUGCUGGGAAUGCUGACCUCUGCCGGCACUAAGGUUGUCCAAACCUGAUCAAAUCCUGAGUGGCACACUCACGAUCCUCCAGGAUGCUAAAUUUUUCUUCCGUCGAAAGAGAGUCGGACCAAAAUGCAGCGUGCUUCAGCCCUGAGCCUCUCACCGAGAGACAGCUUUGAUGUGGCCCCGCUGGGCCGCCGCCCCCCCUGUGCCCUGAUUGGUGGAUGGCUGGCGGGGCGAUGUGGGAGUGGAUGGGAGAUGAAAGCGCACGGGGCAGCGAGGGGGCACCUGCACACAGAGCCUGGCCUGUGUGGAUCCUUCAUCUUCAACCGCUUCCCCUGACCGCCGGCUGAACUCCCGUGUCAGCGACCAUCACACGGUCGCUGUGACCUCUCCAUCUCUGCCUGCCUCGUUCUCUCUAUUCACUCGGUCUGUCUCUCUCUCUCUACUCACUCAAUCGCUCUGUCUGCAUCUCUUAUUCCUUCUCCGUCUUUCUCUCCAACUCUCUCUCUUUCCAUAUAAGUGUAUUGUGAGAGUGUAGUUGUCAGUUGACAGGUGUAGUAUGUGCUGUGUAUUCAGCUGCAAUAUACAAGGUGAAACAAUAUGUUGCAAGGAUAUUGAUGUCUGUGCCUCUGGAAUUGAAGUGGUCUUUGUAGAAGUGAUCCCAGCAUGUGCUCUGAACAAAAUGAAUACAUUGCCAAUAUUACAGUUAUAAAGCAUGUACUUUGUGUUGGAUCUUCAUCUAAUUUCAUGUCAUACUAAUAUUCCAGGAACACAGAAAUCAGUUUCACUGUAAGGGUGUGGUAAUGAAAAUUGUAAUGACAAUUUUAAAUAUUUUACAUAUUAAGACAAUAUCCAUUUGAUGUGAAGCAGAUGAAAAUUUGCCAACAUCUGUCAAGUUUCAGCUGUAGGGCUGAUUGAUUUGCCACUCUUGACCUCUGUGUGAAUUUGAUUAACCAUAAAAUGGUGCAUUAUGUCACCCCUAUUAGGACCAUUUAGUAUUGCCAGAAGGUCAGAGCAAAAAAUACCUCUUUUUCACUUUUAUUGAGAUGUCUCAGCAAUAAGGGCACUGUUUCAGUACAGCUGUAUGCCAAGAAGGCGCAAUCAGCUACAAUGAACUCCUCUGUGCCAUCACAUUUCAGACGUUUCACUGUGUCCAAAAGAAGAUGUGAUGCGAUUUCUUACAAAUAAAACAAAUAAAAAGAAGAAGAAGAAAAAAGGAAUGUUGCCGGUUGAUAAACUGAAAUAAAUGAUUUUAGUUUGAGUAACAUGAUUAUAAAUUCAUUUUGGUUUAUCAUGUUUACAUAAGCUUGGAUUCAGUAUUUUGGAUGUGAAUAAAAAAUGAUCACAUUUUAA
Oncorhynchus tshawytscha (Chinook salmon) is the source of this 1568-nucleotide long non-coding RNA. The record is from Ensembl. Lineage: Eukaryota; Metazoa; Chordata; Actinopteri; Salmoniformes; Salmonidae.